CCUACGGGAGGCAGCAGUGAGGAAUAUUGGUCAAUGGACGAGAGUCUGAACCAGCCAAGUAGCGUGAAGGAUGACUGCCCUAUGGGUUGUAAACUUCUUUUAUAUGGGAAUAAAAUGUUCCACGUGUGGGAUUUUGUAUGUACCAUAUGAAUAAGGAUCGGCUAACUCCGUGCCAGCAGCCGCGGUAAUACGGAGGAUCCGAGCGUUAUCCGGAUUUAUUGGGUUUAAAGGGAGCGUAGGUGGAUUGUUAAGUCAGUUGUGAAAGUUUGCGGCGCAACCGUAAAAGUGCAGUUGAAACUGGCAGUCUUGAGUACAGGAGAGGUGGGCGGAAUUCGUGGUGUAGCGGUGAAAUGCUUAGAUAUCACGAAGAACUCCGAUUGCGAAGGCAGCUCACUGGACUGCAACUGACACUGAGGCUCGAAAGUGUGGGUAUCGAACAGGAUUAGAUACCCCAGUAGUC
Molecule: ribosomal RNA, 460 nt
Filed under: uncultured bacterium
Lineage: Bacteria
Description: partial 16S ribosomal RNA
Rfam family: Bacterial small subunit ribosomal RNA
Source: RNAcentral